UACGUAGGGGGCAAGCGUUGUCCGGAAUCAUUGGGCGUAAAGAGCGCGUAGGCGGCCCUGUAAGUCCGCUGUGAAAGUCAAGGGCUCAACCCUUGGAUGCCGGUGGAUACUGGUUGGCUUGAAUCCGGGAGAGGGAUGUGGAAUUCCAGGUGUAGCGGUGAAAUGCGUAGAUAUCUGGAGGAACACCGGUGGCGAAGGCGGCAUCCUGGACCGGUAUUGACGCUGAGGAGCGAAAGCCAGGGGAGCAAACGGG
RNAcentral lists this ribosomal RNA (253 nucleotides) under uncultured bacterium. Its description in RNAcentral is "partial 16S ribosomal RNA". It matches the Rfam family "Bacterial small subunit ribosomal RNA", at positions 524 to 776 of the family's 1533-position model. The record is from RNAcentral.